GACGAACGCUGGCGGCGUGCUUAACACAUGCAAGUCGAACGGAAAGGCCCUGCUUUUGUGGGGUGCUCGAGUGGCGAACGGGUGAGUAACACGUGAGUAACCUGCCCUUGACUUUGGGAUAACUUCAGGAAACUGGGGCUAAUACCGGAUAGGAGCUCCUGCUGCAUGGUGGGGGUUGGAAAGUUUCGGCGGUUGGGGAUGGACUCGCGGCUUAUCAGCUUGUUGGUGGGGUAGUGGCUUACCAAGGCUUUGACGGGUAGCCGGCCUGAGAGGGUGACCGGCCAAAUGGCGACUGAGAUACGGCCCAGACUCGUACGGGAGGCAGCAGUGGGGAAUAUUGCACAAUGGGCGGAAGCCUGAUGCAGCAACGCCGCGUGCGGGAUGACGGCCUUCGGGUUGUAAACCGCUUUCGCCUGUGACGAAGCGUGAGUGACGGUAAUGGGUAAAGAAGCACCGGCUAACUACGUG
RNAcentral lists this ribosomal RNA (468 nucleotides) under uncultured bacterium. Its description in RNAcentral is "partial 16S ribosomal RNA". It matches the Rfam family "Bacterial small subunit ribosomal RNA", at positions 28 to 507 of the family's 1533-position model. The record is from RNAcentral.